This 465-nucleotide ribosomal RNA is filed under the name uncultured Klebsiella sp. RNAcentral's name for it is "bacterial SSU rRNA". It matches the Rfam family "Bacterial small subunit ribosomal RNA", at positions 338 to 795 of the family's 1533-position model. Lineage: Bacteria; Pseudomonadati; Pseudomonadota; Gammaproteobacteria; Enterobacterales; Enterobacteriaceae. The record is from RNAcentral.
CCUACGGGUGGCUGCAGUGGGGAAUAUUGCACAAUGGGCGCAAGCCUGAUGCAGCCAUGCCGCGUGUGUGAAGAAGGCCUUCGGGUUGUAAAGCACUUUCAGCGGGGAGGAAGGCGGUGAGGUUAAUAACCUCAUCGAUUGACGUUACCCGCAGAAGAAGCACCGGCUAACUCCGUGCCAGCAGCCGCGGUAAUACGGAGGGUGCAAGCGUUAAUCGGAAUUACUGGGCGUAAAGCGCACGCAGGCGGUCUGUCAAGUCGGAUGUGAAAUCCCCGGGCUCAACCUGGGAACUGCAUUCGAAACUGGCAGGCUAGAGUCUUGUAGAGGGGGGUAGAAUUCCAGGUGUAGCGGUGAGAUGCGUAGAGAUCUGGAGGAAUACCGGUGGCGAAGGCGGCCCCCUGGACAAAGACUGACGCUCAGGUGCGAAAGCGUGGGGAGCAAACAGGAUUAGAUACCCGUGUAGUC